Brassica napus (rape) is the source of this 4072-nucleotide long non-coding RNA. RefSeq lists it as uncharacterized. The transcript has 3 exons. The record is from RefSeq and is a predicted model, not a curated record. Lineage: Eukaryota; Viridiplantae; Streptophyta; Magnoliopsida; Brassicales; Brassicaceae.
UUAUAAUAAAUUUUUAAUUAACAUUGAAUUAUAAAGUUAUAUUAGUAUUUACGAAAUUAAUUAAGUGUUAUUUUAUAAAAAUAUUUAGAAAGUUGGUAAGAUUUUGUUAGAUUCUUUUUCAACAUAAUUUGUUAUAUUUAAAAAUAAAUUUAUAUUUAUAUUUGUUUUAUUAUUAAUGUAAAUAAUGAAAUAUGUUAUUUUUUUAGAGGAUCCUAGUAUGACUUGUUAAAAGUAGAUAGAAAAUAGAACUUUGUUUUAAUAGAUUAGAUAUCCAAGGAACCAAACACAUUUCUAUGUCCAAACACGUGCUAUUCUAAAGGAAGUCCAAAAAUAAAUGAGAACUUGUAAAUGGUAGAUAAAAAAUAGGACUCUAUUUUAAUAGAUUAGAUUUUAGAAUUUAAGCUGUGAAUAUAGCAAAAGGUUUCUAAUAAUAUCAAUAAUAGUCUAUGUUAAAGUGAUUAUAGUUCAAGAAAGUGUUUUUACUAAUAUGUCAAACUAAAUAACAUUUUUGUUAUAUGUCCUAUAUAAAAGUUCAACAAAAAUUUGUCCUAAGUCAAUGUUUCAUUUUUUUUGUUAGUAGUCACGGCUCUGUGCCAUUGCUAUUUCACUAGGACUACUACUAAUAGUUCCUAAAACCUAUAGGUUCUCCGGCCACUAAUAAGUUGCCAGCUCAUAUCCAAUUUUUUUGGGAAAAAAAGAAGGUAAAAUAUAAUUAGAAAUAAUAUCAAGUGAAAAAGAAAAGAAAACUAAAAAAAGGAAACAAAAAAAAAACAGAACACACAGCUUGUAAACCUAUUUUGUGACCAAGGAGAGAGCCACGUAGAAGAAGAAGAGGACCAAAGAAAAGUAGCAGAGAAGAAGCUACAAAGUCGUUAACAUAAUUGAUCAUAUAGUUGUUAGAUUUUCUUUAAUCACGUCAAAUUCUCAAAAACUAAUGAAUUUGGCAAAGAUGUUUUUGAUUUCAUCUCUACUGGAUACGUCUUUGGAUCCGUAGGCUACGUUUCUGUGAGUCACAUAGAAGAAGAAGAGGAGCAAAGAAGAGUAGCAAAGAAGAAGGAAGGUUGAAGCGCAAGAAACGAACAAACAAGAAGAAGUGACCAAUGAGAGAGUCACGUAGAAGAAGAUAGUCAAUGUGAGAGAAGAUGCCACUUGACAUUGAUUACAAACCAAAGAGAAGUUGAGGACACCUAUGUUGUAGUUGUUAGGUGCAUGUGUAGUACUUAGUGAGAAACUACUAUAAGUAUGUAUAUGUGGUGUUGUAAGAAAGAUAAAUCCAAUUCUCAUAAUAAUAAGAGUUGGAGUAAGUAAAAAUGUAGACAUACAAAGUUAUCUCUCUUCUCUCUCUACAAGAACAAACCAAACGUGAGAGAGUAAAGAGAGUGUGUGCUAGCUUGUGUCAUGAUUGAAACACAAGCAAAACUGAGACAAAAAGAGAACAAAAACAGAGUAAGAGCAAGAGUGAGCUGGCUGUGAGGUGAGGCCAAGCCAGAAGUUCAACAAUUUCAACAUGACGGCCCAGAGCCUACAUGGACUGUUAAACAUGUUGGAGGUGCGAUGAGAGGUGCAUGAGCUGAUGCUGAUCAAGUCUCUGUUAUGGUUAGAACUAUGAUUGAAAUUAAAGUCAGCAAGAACGCUUUCCGUAUGUUCUAUGCGCUUGGGUACAAACUAGACCACGAGCUUCUCAAAGUUGGAUUUGCAUUUCAUUUCCAAAGGACCGCACACAUAAGUGACCACAUGUACACAUUACGAAUUCAACUCCUUUAAUGAUGCAUUUUCUUAUUAUAUAAUUUGGAAUAUGCAGAGUUUGAAACCUUAACCAAAUUUUGAUUUAUCAAACUUGAAUCACCUUAGACUUGUAAAAUAGAUCGAUCCCGACCACCAAGAAUAGUUUUUUUGACCACUUAAUUGAUUAUUCUCCAUUCCUUCUCAAACUUUCUGUCAAACCAAUGGCAAGAACAUUCUUAUAUAUAAAUUGUUAGGGUUAGUUGACCAAAAAAAAGAAAUAGAUUGUUAGGGUUACAAGUACAUUGGACGGAGGUUUAUUCAAAAUUGGGUUUGAAAGCAAGGAUUAGGAGACUCGAAAAUCACUAACACAGCUUCGUCUCUUCUAUGUAAUCUAUCUUCUCUGUAACCGAUUAACCCUAAGAAUGAUCUACCACGGCGUUAAACAACUUUGAUGUUUGCCACCUCAAUUAUGUUAGAAAAUCUAACAACUAUAUGGUUAAUUAUGUUAACGACUUUGUAGCUUCUUCUUCUUCUUAGUCACAAAACAAGGUUUACAAGCCGUAGUGUUCUGUUUUUUUUUGUUUUCUUAUUGUUUUUCAGUUGAUAAUAUUAUUUCUAAUUAUUUUUUACCUUUCUAUUUUUUUCAAAUACUGAAUAUGAAUUGGCAACUUAUUAAUACUUAUUAAUGGCCGGUGACCUAUAGGUGAACCUAUACCCAAGAAUUAGUCUUUCACAAGAUGACGCACCUUUUUUCAGGUACUGCGCUAGUUAAUGAAAUGGUACGUAUACAGAGCCGGCUCUCGGCCCAAGCAGGUGAAGCAUGUGCUUCCGGCCACCAACAUAAUAAAUAUUUUAGCGUCCACUUUUUCCUGAAAACUUUCUGUGGUGUAGUGGUCAAAUGUGCUCUUCUUCUCUAAGGUAAGGCUGGGUUCGAGGCCCCUUGUGUUAAUUUUUUUUCCAGCCAUUUUUAUUUAUUUUGGGCUUGUGGCCCAAAAAUGUCUAGGACCGGUUCUGCAUGUAUAGGUGCAUGUUUCUAAAUAACUAAACUAAAUAUCGAUACUGUUCUCAUUUAUACAGAGAUUUAGUUUAUACUUAUGAUGAAUUACCAAAGAAAGGCCUUCAUUUUUCAUAAAAAAUGGCCAUACUAUAAGGGAAAAAUUGUUUUUCUAGACCAAAAAAUAGGUACAUUGUCCCAUUAAACAAAUCUCAAAUUUUUACAAUUUUGGUCUAUAAUGCCAUUUCCUAUUUAUAAAAAUAAACUAAAUAAAUAGUUUUAUAAACAAAAAAAAUGAAAAAUAGGAACUUCAUUGUAAAUACCUAUACCAAUGUAGAAGUUUUUUUUUGGGUUCUAAAAAUGUUUAUAUGAAUUUGUUUUUUCUAAUUUGUUUUAUCUUUAACAUUUUCUUAAUAUAUAAUCGUUAGUUUUAAUUAUAUUUUAAAAAUUAAACUAAGGGUAUAGUAGGAUUUUCAUGAAAUAUUAGAUUAAUGGGACAAGAUUAGAUUGGUAUUAACCCAUAAGGACAAAUGUAUGUGUUUUUUUGUCUAAAAACAAUUUUUUCUACUAUAAGUCUUAAUUUUCAUAUGUAAGCAUUUUUACUCUAUAUACAUUGGUUAGCUAGCUAUUGAUGGAAAGCUUGUUCGACUUAUUAAUAACAAAAUGUGUUUGCCGGCCAACAAAAAAAAUCUAAACUACAAAAAAACAAAUCUAAAAAUUACAACUUUUUUUUAAUAUUAGCUUAAAAUUACAACAUUUUGAUCACUAGAGUUAGAUCGCGCAGGUUUUUCUCCAUUAAUUUCAUGUGCAUUGUUUUUUCCCUCUUAUAUAUAUACUGUAUAUAUAUAAGGAAUUGAGAAACAUAAAUAUAAAAAUAUAAAUAUAAAACUAUUGGACGUAUAUUGUACUGAUUAAACUAUUAUACUUUUUUUUUACUAAAUAACAAUAUUUUUCAUAUAUUUCUAACUCGUUUCAUUACAUUUUAGUGUUUUAUAAUUAAAUUUGAAUGAUAUAUUUUUCUUGGUUUUCACUAGUCAAAAUUUAUCAACUCUUUUUAUAAACAAAAAAUAAUGUAUACCAUUUUAUUAAUCCGUAAAAUACUAUAACACGUAGAAUAUUGUACAUGUUUGACCAAGCGUGGCAUCACAAUCUCCCAUCCUUGUGAUAAUAUCAAUCUUUAUUUCCCAAGAGUCAAUACACUGCCUAUCUACAUGAGAUGUCACCUUGAAAAGCGUCUUCAAUCUGUAGCGAAAGCUCUCGUGUAUGAACCAAAACUAGAUGAUUCGUAAUUUCUUCUUGGCGGCGUUUUAGAGCCAAAAUUUCACGGUGAGAUUUGAUGAGGAAGACAAAUUU